Molecule: ribosomal RNA, 426 nt
Filed under: uncultured bacterium
Lineage: Bacteria
Description: bacterial SSU rRNA
Rfam family: Bacterial small subunit ribosomal RNA
Source: RNAcentral
UGGGGAAUUUUGGACAAUGGGCGCAAGCCUGAUCCAGCCAUGCCGCGUGCAGGAUGAAGGCCUUCGGGUUGUAAACUGCUUUUGUACGGAACGAAAAGGUGCCUUCUAAUAAAGGGCGCUCAUGACGGUACCGUAAGAAUAAGCACCGGCUAACUACGUGCCAGCAGCCGCGGUAAUACGUAGGGUGCGAGCGUUAAUCGGAAUUACUGGGCGUAAAGCGUGCGCAGGCGGUUUUGUAAGACAGAGGUGAAAUCCCCGGGCUCAACCUGGGAACUGCCUUUGUGACUGCAAGGCUGGAGUGCGGCAGAGGGGGAUGGAAUUCCGCGUGUAGCAGUGAAAUGCGUAGAUAUGCGGAGGAACACCGAUGGCGAAGGCAAUCCCCUGGGCCUGCACUGACGCUCAUGCACGAAAGCGUGGGGAGCAAAC